This 573-nucleotide ribosomal RNA is filed under the name Staphylococcus aureus. Its description in RNAcentral is "bacterial SSU rRNA". It matches the Rfam family "Bacterial small subunit ribosomal RNA", at positions 962 to 1533 of the family's 1533-position model. Lineage: Bacteria; Bacillati; Bacillota; Bacilli; Caryophanales; Staphylococcaceae. The record is from RNAcentral.
CGAAGAACCUUACCAAAUCUUGACAUCCUUUGACAACUCUAGAGAUAGAGCCUUCCCCUUCGGGGGACAAAGUGACAGGUGGUGCAUGGUUGUCGUCAGCUCGUGUCGUGAGAUGUUGGGUUAAGUCCCGCAACGAGCGCAACCCUUAAGCUUAGUUGCCAUCAUUAAGUUGGGCACUCUAAGUUGACUGCCGGUGACAAACCGGAGGAAGGUGGGGAUGACGUCAAAUCAUCAUGCCCCUUAUGAUUUGGGCUACACACGUGCUACAAUGGACAAUACAAAGGGCAGCGAAACCGCGAGGUCAAGCAAAUCCCAUAAAGUUGUUCUCAGUUCGGAUUGUAGUCUGCAACUCGACUACAUGAAGCUGGAAUCGCUAGUAAUCGUAGAUCAGCAUGCUACGGUGAAUACGUUCCCGGGUCUUGUACACACCGCCCGUCACACCACGAGAGUUUGUAACACCCGAAGCCGGUGGAGUAACCUUUUAGGAGCUAGCCGUCGAAGGUGGGACAAAUGAUUGGGGUGAAGUCGUAACAAGGUAGCCGUAUCGGAAGGUGCGGCUGGAUCACCUCCUUU